This 497-nucleotide ribosomal RNA is filed under the name uncultured bacterium. RNAcentral describes it as "partial 16S ribosomal RNA". It matches the Rfam family "Bacterial small subunit ribosomal RNA", at positions 28 to 507 of the family's 1533-position model. The record is from RNAcentral.
GAUGAACGCUGGCGGCGUGCCUAAUACGUGCAAGUCGAGCGAACAGAUAAGGAGCUUGCUCCUUUGACGUUAGCGGCGGACGGGUGAGUAACACGUGGGUAACCUACCUAUAAGACUGGGAUAACUUCGGGAAACCGGAGCUAAUACCGGAUAACAUUUGGAACCGCAUGGUUCUAAAGUGAAAGAUGGUUUUGCUAUCACUUAUAGAUGGACCCGCGCCGUAUUAGCUAGUUGGUAAGGUAACGGCUUACCAAGGCGACGAUACGUAGCCGACCUGAGAGGGUGAUCGGCCACACUGGAACUGAGACACGGUCCAGACUCCUACGGGAGGCAGCAGUAGGGAAUCUUCCGCAAUAGGCGAAAGCCUGACGGAGCAACGCCGCGUGAGUGAUGAAGGGUUUCGGCUCGUAAAACUCUGUUAUUAGGGAAGAACAAAUGUGUAAGUAACUGUGCACGUCUUGACGGUACCUAAUCAGAAAGCCACGGCUAACUACGUG